RNAcentral lists this ribosomal RNA (451 nucleotides) under uncultured bacterium. RNAcentral describes it as "partial 16S ribosomal RNA". It matches the Rfam family "Bacterial small subunit ribosomal RNA", at positions 29 to 523 of the family's 1533-position model. The record is from RNAcentral.
AACGAACGCUGGCGGCAGGCUUAACACAUGCAAGUCGAACGGGCGUAGCAAUACGUCGGUGGCAGACGGGUGAGUAACACGUGGGAACCUUCCUCGUAGUACGGAACAACUCAGGGAAACUUGAGCUAAUACCGUAUACGUCCGAGAGGAGAAAGAUUUAUCGCUAUGAGACGGGCCCGCGUCCGAUUAGGUAGUUGGUGGGGUAACGGCCUACCAAGCCGACGAUCGGUAGCUGAUCUGAGAGGAUGAUCAGCCACACUGGGACUGAGACACGGCCCAGACUCCUACGGGAGGCAGCAGUGGGGAAUCUUGGACAAUGGGCGCAAGCCUGAUCCAGCCAUGCCGCGUGAGUGAAGAAGGCCUUAGGGUUGUAAAGCUCUUUUGCCAGGGACGAUAAUGACGGUACCUGGAGAAUAAGCCCCGGCAAACUUCGUGCCAGCAGCCGCCGUAA